UUCCCAUUACCUAUGCCUUGUAUCCGCGGC
RNAcentral lists this non-coding RNA (30 nucleotides) under Homo sapiens (human). Lineage: Eukaryota; Metazoa; Chordata; Mammalia; Primates; Hominidae. The record is from RNAcentral.